GGGCUAUUAGCUCAAAUGGAUAGAGCAAAAGACUUCUAAUCUUUAGGUUACAGAUUCGAGUUCUGUAUAGCCCA
Molecule: transfer RNA, 74 nt
Filed under: Caudoviricetes sp.
Lineage: Duplodnaviria; Heunggongvirae; Uroviricota; Caudoviricetes
Description: tRNA-Arg
Rfam family: tRNA
About the family: Transfer RNA (tRNA) molecules are approximately 80 nucleotides in length. Their secondary structure includes four short double-helical elements and three loops (D, anti-codon, and T loops).
Source: RNAcentral